Molecule: ribosomal RNA, 495 nt
Filed under: uncultured bacterium
Lineage: Bacteria
Description: bacterial SSU rRNA
Rfam family: Bacterial small subunit ribosomal RNA
Source: RNAcentral
GAUGAACGCUAGCGGGAGGCUUAACACAUGCAAGUCGAGGGGUAGUUUACUUCGGUAAAUGAGACCGGCGCACGGGUGCGUAACGCGUAUGCAAUCUACCUUGUACAGGGGGAUAGCCCAGAGAAAUUUGGAUUAAUACCCCAUAGUAUUAUGAUGUGGCAUCACAUUAUUAUUAAAGUUCCAACGGUACAAGAUGAGCAUGCGUCCCAUUAGCUAGUUGGUGUGGUAACGGCAUACCAAGGCAACGAUGGGUAGGGGUCCUGAGAGGGAGAUCCCCCACACUGGUACUGAGACACGGAGCAGACUCCUACGGGAGGCAGCAGUGAGGAAUAUUGGGCAAUGGUCGCAAGACUGACCCAGCCAUGCCGCGUGCAGGAUGACGGUCCUAUGGAUUGUAAACUGCUUUUGUACAGGAAGAAACACUGGUACGUGUACCAGCUUGACGGUACUGUAAGAAUAAGGAUCGGCUAACUCCGUGCCAGCAGCCGCGGUAAU